CACGCAGGCGGAUUGAUAAGUCAGGGGUGAAAUCCCGGAGCUCAACUUCGGAAUUGCCUUUGAUACUGUCUGUCUUCGAGUUCGGGAGAGGUUGGCGGAAUUCCUAGUGUAGAGGUGAAAUUCGUAGAUAUUAGGAAGAACACCAGUGGCGAAGGCGGCCAACUGGCCCGAUACCGACGCUCAUGUGCGAAAGCGUGGGGAGCAAACAGGAUUAGAUACCCUGGUAGUCCACGCUGUAAACUAUGGAUGCUAGCCGUUGGGGAGCUUGCUCUUCAGUGGCGCAGCUAACGUCUUAAGCAUCCCGCCUGGGGAGUACGGUCGCAAGAUUAAA
Molecule: ribosomal RNA, 331 nt
Filed under: uncultured bacterium
Lineage: Bacteria
Description: bacterial SSU rRNA
Rfam family: Bacterial small subunit ribosomal RNA
Source: RNAcentral